Transfer RNA from Synechococcus sp. JA-2-3B'a(2-13), 72 nucleotides. It matches the Rfam family "tRNA". Rfam says of the family: Transfer RNA (tRNA) molecules are approximately 80 nucleotides in length. Their secondary structure includes four short double-helical elements and three loops (D, anti-codon, and T loops). Further hydrogen bonds mediate the characteristic L-shaped molecular structure. tRNAs have two regions of fundamental functional importance: the anti-codon, which is responsible for specific mRNA codon recognition, and the 3' end, to which the tRNAs corresponding amino acid is attached (by aminoacyl-tRNA synthetases). tRNAs cope with the degeneracy of the genetic code in two manners: having more than one tRNA (with a specific anti-codon) for a particular amino acid; and 'wobble' base-pairing, i.e. permitting non-standard base-pairing at the 3rd anti-codon position. The record is from Rfam. Lineage: Bacteria; Bacillati; Cyanobacteriota; Cyanophyceae; Synechococcales; Synechococcaceae.
GGGCUGUUAACUCAGUGGUAGAGUACCACCUUGACACGGUGGGAGCCGCUGGUUCAAUUCCAGCACAGCCCA